RNAcentral lists this long non-coding RNA (1717 nucleotides) under Salmo salar (Atlantic salmon). RNAcentral describes it as "lncRNA (ENSSSAG00000118947.1)". Lineage: Eukaryota; Metazoa; Chordata; Actinopteri; Salmoniformes; Salmonidae. The record is from RNAcentral.
UGACAGGAUAGGGACAGGGAGGAGUCAAGGCAUAUGCCAGAUAAAGGAAGAACAUCGAUGCUCAUGUGAGUGUUGAUACUAAUUUGAUGUAGUAGAUAUCCUGGAGAUGAAUUAGUAUGAACAGAAUGAUGGGAGAAUUCGUGAAUCAGUUAACGGGCAUAUCAUGCUCUGGUCAGUCUCUCAACUAAGGAGCAUAGGAGUACUUUCACCUGUAUCACACACAGACAGAGCUAGGGUCUCACCUGAGACAAAGAGCUGGUGGAGAGGCUGCACUGUAAUCGCUGGAAGAAGAGGGAACUCAUCCACUGUACACUGAGCUUCCUGUAUCAUCAUGGUUCCAUCAAAGCUGAAGGCCAGGAGCCCCAUGUUGGAAGUGUCGUGUCUUUGGCUAUGCCGGAUUAAGUGAUAUGACAUGCUAACUUAUAAAAUGAUUUCUCUGUAAUUAAUAUUACCUGAUUAAGCUAAUCAUGUAAAUGUAAUUAACUAGAAAGUCGGGGCACCACGGAAGAACGUUUAUAGAGCUGUUAUCUUCCGAAUAAACUCUUAAAAUACAUAGUAAUAUUUCACCUCGAUAGCAGUCAAUAUUAACCCUUGUCUUAUUUUCAGUCUCAUAAUGAAAGUUGUAAGUUCUUGGCUAUCUUCACGAACCCUGGCUAACAAGUUGAAUCAGCAAUACAAAAUUGGGUUUAAUUAUUUAUUUACUAAAUACCUAACUAAUCACACAGAAUUACAAAUACACAGAAUACAAUGUCGUCAUACAGAAAACGUCCCGGUAGACGGAACAGAUAUGACGGCUGGUUACACAAAGGAAAGGGGGUUGGGCUUGAAUGAAAGAGUGGGGAGAUUUAGGAACAGAGAAACAGCAGCUAUGCUAUCGUAAAUACAUUAUCUUAUGCAUUCUAAAUUACCGGCCAUUUGGAAAAGGAAAAUGCAAUAAAUAUUUACUCUGAGCUGCGCUUCGGUAGAUUGGUCGUAGAUGCUGGCCGGGUUGGCCAACAGAUCUUCCUGUUACUCGGAAGAAUGUCUCUGGUGGUCAAUUGGAUACGUGGUGGUAUCUUCGUCCGUCUGUUAGACUGGAUCCGUCGUCCGUCCUUUCCUAGCCCACGUUACAGCAGCCGCUGCUAACUCAACGGCUAGGAAGUAGCACUUCUGUAGUGAAUAAGCUCAAAGUUCAUACCAGUUCAUACCAUAGCUCACGCCGAGGUUGGCUUAGUUGACAUGUGUGUCCUUCUAACGUAGAGGCUGCAGGCCUCCCGUACUGGAACAACCUGGUUAUCUUUUCGUCAAAGGAUUAUAUAGUGGGGAGGGGGAGGGAGGUGUUUCAUCGUUUAUAACCCCUGUCUCUUCACAGGGUUGGGUUACUGAUCGAGCCGGGCACUUUCUUUAUGAAAACCCAAAUCUCUCAUUCGGAAGCUAAAAUUACAUUUCAUCUCCUAACAAACAUUUUCAAUAUCAAACAUUUCAAUUGCAUAACAAUUCCAUGUGACUCUGAUAACCAGAGGGUGUAUACUUUCUCAGAUACAGUUUAUGUCGUCCUGUCAUCAGUCACAAUGUCUCAGAUGACAACCGAACUGACAUACAUACUCAUUACGUUCCCAAGCAUAUUUCCAACUGGUUUUAUCAACAAAAUAUGUGGUACCUUUCUCCAUUUGUUUGAUGUUCCCAGACUCUCUAUAUUUAACAGGACAGCAGUCCUUCAGUAGGGUCAGUAAGAGAG